GCAAAAACGUCAAGUUCUCUCACUGCUGCUAGAAAUCUUCAUUCGGCGUUCCUUUCUCCAGGACUAGAAGAGAUAGCAAAAGCAUGUUAACCAUUGAAAUCCUGUGUGUGAUCCCUGUUGCAUACAACAAGACAGCUACAUGCUAUGACACCUGAAGAUGUUCAAUGCAGUGAUGGUUCUUAUGACUGCUAGCUGGCCUGUUGAAUUUUGCCAGCAUUUACUUUGUUUCAGAAUUUGGGCAUUUACAUUUUUUUUUUGCUUUUUGUAAAGGCAAUUUCAAAUGUAUAGUUUAAAAAGUAAAAAAAAAUGCUGGUU
Non-coding RNA from Chiloscyllium plagiosum (whitespotted bambooshark), 315 nucleotides. The record is from RefSeq and is a predicted model, not a curated record. Lineage: Eukaryota; Metazoa; Chordata; Chondrichthyes; Orectolobiformes; Hemiscylliidae.